UCCCGCUCUCUCUGCCGUCGCCCUGGCUGGGACAGCGGCUCGUCCUCCCUCCCAGCCGGGCGGGCCCCGGGCGAUGCUGAAGGAUCCUGGAAUCCCGCCCGGCAGUGCCCCUUGUUCCCGGCAGGCACACCAGGCUCCCAAGUGCUCGCUAUCAGCUUCCAUCAGAUCCAGAUUAAGAAAUUAGCCUUCGACUAAUCAUUUAAAUUAAUGGUCCCAGACUGGUACAUAAAGUUAGCUGACGCAGGUCCCGCCUAGACUUCAGCCUUUCCUAAAGUAUGCUCGGGGCGCUGCUUUCCUGCCUGUCUCUUCUGUCCUUUGGUGGGAGCACGGUGGCAGCUGGAAACUGGCAUUGAAGUGGCCCCAAACACUGGCAAUGAGAGUCAGCCUGAGGCCUCUGAGCACAGAGUGUGGCCAGAGCAAAGCACAGACCUGUUUUGCAGUGGUGUUCGUGGGUUUUGUCACACUGCUACGCUCAAUGACCCAGCUGUGUUCACCUGCAGACUCUUAUUGCUUGGGCUGCAGAUUCCCAGUGACAGCAGCUCAGGUAUGGGCCCUGUUGGCUGCCAGAGCCCAGGCAGAACGUGGUGCAGCCUCCAAGAGCUCCAGCUGUGCAAACAGCAGAUGACAGAGGCGCCGUUUUUCAGGUUUGUAGAUUUGUAUUGCUCUGGAUCACAC
This is a long non-coding RNA of Melospiza melodia melodia, 675 nucleotides long. RefSeq lists it as uncharacterized. The record is from RefSeq and is a predicted model, not a curated record. NCBI's taxonomy places the organism in Eukaryota, Metazoa, Chordata, Aves, Passeriformes, Passerellidae. The transcript has 4 exons.